UACGAAGGGGGCUAGCGUUGUUCGGAAUUACUGGGCGUAAAGGGCGCGUAGGCGGCGUGGCCAGUUAGAAGUGAAAGCCUCGGGCUCAACCUGAGAAUUGCUUUUGAUACUGCCAUGCUAGAGUUCGGGAGAGGUGAGUGGAAUUCCCAGUGUAGAGGUGAAAUUCGUAGAUAUUGGGAAGAACACCAGUGGCGAAGGCGGCUCACUGGACCGACACUGACGCUGAGGCGCGAAAGCGUGGGGAGCAAACAGG
This 253-nucleotide ribosomal RNA is filed under the name uncultured bacterium. RNAcentral's name for it is "partial 16S ribosomal RNA". It matches the Rfam family "Bacterial small subunit ribosomal RNA", at positions 524 to 776 of the family's 1533-position model. The record is from RNAcentral.